GUGAGGAAUAUUGGUCAAUGGGCGGAAGCCUGAACCAGCCAUGCCGCGUGCAGGACGACGGCCCUACGGGUUGUAAACUGCUUUUCCGGGGGAAGAAUAACCCCCCUGCGGGGGGGGAUGCCGGUACCCCGGGAAUAAGGAUCGGCUAACUCCGUGCCAGCAGCCGCGGUAAUACGGAGGAUCCUAGCGUUAUCCGGAUUUACUGGGUUUAAAGGGUGCGUAGGCGGACCCCUAAGUCCGCGGUGAAAGUCUGCGGCUCAACCGUAGGAUUGCCGUGGAUACUGGGGGUCUUGGAUUCGGUCGGGGCGGGCGGAAUGCGUGGUGUAGCGGUGAAAUGCAUAGAUAUCACGCAGAACGCCGAUAGCGAAGGCAGCUCGCCGGGCCGACAUCGACGCUGAGGCACGAAAGCGUGGGGAUCAAACAGGAUUAGAAACCCGGGUAGUCC
This 445-nucleotide ribosomal RNA is filed under the name uncultured bacterium. RNAcentral describes it as "bacterial SSU rRNA". It matches the Rfam family "Bacterial small subunit ribosomal RNA", at positions 354 to 796 of the family's 1533-position model. The record is from RNAcentral.